UGAGGCCACCUUGUGCACCACC
This 22-nucleotide non-coding RNA is filed under the name Arabidopsis thaliana (thale cress). Lineage: Eukaryota; Viridiplantae; Streptophyta; Magnoliopsida; Brassicales; Brassicaceae. The record is from RNAcentral.